Molecule: ribosomal RNA, 468 nt
Filed under: uncultured bacterium
Lineage: Bacteria
Description: partial 16S ribosomal RNA
Rfam family: Bacterial small subunit ribosomal RNA
Source: RNAcentral
GACGAACGCUGGCGGCGUGCCUAACACAUGCAAGUCGAACGGAAAGGCUCUGCUGUUGGGGGGUGCCCGGUUGGCGAACGGGGGGGAAACACGCGAGUAAUCGGCCCUUGACUUUGGGAUAACUUCAGGAAACUGGGGCUAAUACCGGAUAGGAGCUCCUGCUGCAUGGUGUGGGUUGGAGAGUGUCGGCGGUUGGGGAUGGACUGGCGGCUUAUCAGCUUGUUGGUGGGGUAGUGGCUUACCAGGGCUUUGACGGGUAGCCGGCCUGGGAGGGUGACCGGCCACAUUGGGACGGAGAUACGGCACAGACUCCUACGGGAGGCAGCGGUGGGGAAUAUUGCACAAUGGGCGGAAGCCUGAUGCAGCAACGCCGCGUGCGGGAUGACGGCCUUCGGGUUGUAAACCGCUUUCGCCUGUGACGAAGCGUGAGUGACGGUAAUGGGUAAAGAAGCACCGGCUAACUACGUG